Molecule: ribosomal RNA, 568 nt
Filed under: uncultured Glomus
Lineage: Eukaryota; Fungi; Glomeromycota; Glomeromycetes; Glomerales; Glomeraceae
Description: SSU rRNA
Rfam family: Eukaryotic small subunit ribosomal RNA
Source: RNAcentral
GUGAUUUUGGAGGGCAAGUCUGGUGCCAGCAGCCGCGGUAAUUCCAGCUCCAAUAGCGUAUAUUAAAGUUGUUGCAGUUAAAAAGCUCGUAGUUGAAUUUCGGGGUUAGUAGGUUGGUCAUGCCUCUGGUAUGUACUGGUCUCACUGAUUCCUCCUUCCUUAUGAACCGUAAUGCCAUUAAUUUGGUGUUGCGGGGAAUUUGGACUGUUACUUUGAAAAAAUUAGAGUGUUUAAAGCAAGCUAACGCUUGAAUACAUUAGCAUGGAAUAAUGAAAUAGGACGUUCGAUCUUAUUUUGUUGGUUUCUAGGAUUGACGUAAUGAUUAAUAGGGAUAGUUGGGGGCAUUAGUAUUCAAUUGUCAGAGGUGAAAUUCUUGGAUUUAUUGAAGACUAACUACUGCGAAAGCAUUUGCCAAGGAUGUUUUCAUUAAUCAAGAACGAAAGUUAGGGGAUCGAAGACGAUCAGAUACCGUCGUAGUCUUAACCAUAAACUAUGCCGACUAGGGAUCGGAUGAUGUUAAUUUUUUAAUGACUCAUUCGGCGCCUUACGGGAAACAAUCGAAUUCCCG